GUCAGUUGCUGUUCUGAUAAAAAAGAUAACUGAGAGACAGAGGAAGAGUCUUAUGUUUGAAAAGCUAACUGCAGUAUUUUUUUCAUGAAAAUUUAGGGCUGUGUUUGAGGAUCAAACUUCAGCGAUGUUUACCUUUCAAGCACAAGCUGGAAAUCUACAUAUCAGAGGGGGCACAUUCUAUCGAGGAAGACAUCAACAAACAAAUCAACGACAAAGAGAGAGUCGCAGCAGCCAUGGAGAAUCCCAGUUUGCGGGAGAUUGUGGACCAGUGUGUGCAGGACCCCGACUGACUUGGAAUAUCUGCCUCCUUUGUAUCAACUUCUUUCUAUAUAACGUUAUCUUGAAUUUAAUACUAAAAAUUACCUUGAAGGCAUCGUUUUGAAAUCAUCCAGUUAAUUGCAAACGAGCGUGAGCAGGCCUGAUCAACCUCAGAUGAACUCUAUAGAAUGAAAAAUUAAUAUUCUCUUAAAGUUGAUAUUUCUAAAUAUGAAUAAUUUUUAUUGCCAACUUAUGAAAAAGAGAUUGGACAACCAGUCUGGAAUGAUAUUCAGGUCUCCUGCUCAAGCGGGGAGUUAGAUUAGAAGAGCUCCAAGGUCCAACCCUUCUUUGUUCGCUUAAUGUGUGUUGUAAUUUUUAAAAUGUGAUUUUAAUUGAUUUUUCCGCUUCCUUAAUGAAGUAUAUGUAAAUAGCUACUCUGUUAAGGGUGAAUCAAAUACAGAAUUGUUGA
Molecule: non-coding RNA, 727 nt
Organism: Pseudonaja textilis
Lineage: Eukaryota; Metazoa; Chordata; Lepidosauria; Squamata; Elapidae
Source: RefSeq, a predicted model, not a curated record